GCUAAUGUGGCCCAGUGGUUAGAGCAUCCGCCUCGGACGCGGAAAGUCGUGGAUUUGUUCACCGGUCCAUUCAUACCAUAGGCA
Non-coding RNA from Potamilus streckersoni, 84 nucleotides. The record is from the annotation of a GenBank genome assembly. NCBI's taxonomy places the organism in Eukaryota, Metazoa, Mollusca, Bivalvia, Unionida, Unionidae.